GUCUACGGCCAUACCACCCUGAACGCGCCCGAUCUCGUCUGAUCUCGGAAAAAGCAAAUGGAGAGAGAAAGAGUAACACAUUUAUUGAAAAUA
Molecule: ribosomal RNA, 93 nt
Filed under: Bos indicus x Bos taurus (hybrid cattle)
Lineage: Eukaryota; Metazoa; Chordata; Mammalia; Artiodactyla; Bovidae
Source: RNAcentral